CCUACGGGAGGCAGCAGUGAGGAAUAUUGGUCAAUGGGCGCGAGCCUGAACCAGCCAAGUCGCGUGAGGGAAGACGGUCCUAUGGAUUGUAAACCUCUUUUGUCGGGGAGCAAAAGACGCCACGCGUGGCGUUCCGAGAGUACCCGAAGAAAAAGGAUCGGCUAACUCCGUGCCAGCAGCCGCGGUAAUACGGAGGAUGCGAGCGUUAUCCGGAUUUAUUGGGUUUAAAGGGUGCGCAGGCGGAAGAUCAAGGCAGCGGUAAAAGUGAGAGGCUCAACCUCUUCGAGCCGUUGAAACUGGUUUUCUUGAGUGAGUGAGAAGUAUGCGGAAUGCGUGGUGUAGCGGUGAAAUGCAUAGAUAUCACGCAGAACUCCGAUUGCGAAGGCAGCAUACCGGCGCUCAACUGACGCUCAUGCACGAAAGUGUGGGUAUCGAACAGGAUUAGAUACCCCAGUAGUC
RNAcentral lists this ribosomal RNA (459 nucleotides) under uncultured bacterium. Its description in RNAcentral is "partial 16S ribosomal RNA". It matches the Rfam family "Bacterial small subunit ribosomal RNA", at positions 338 to 795 of the family's 1533-position model. The record is from RNAcentral.